Molecule: ribosomal RNA, 489 nt
Filed under: uncultured bacterium
Lineage: Bacteria
Description: bacterial SSU rRNA
Rfam family: Bacterial small subunit ribosomal RNA
Source: RNAcentral
GACAAACGCUGGCGGCGUGCCUAAUACAUGCAAGUCGAACGGUACUCCUUCGGGAGUAUAGUGGCGGACGGGUGAGUAACACGUAGAUGACCUACCCUGAUGUGGGGAAUAACCCCUCGAAAGAGGAGCUAAUACCGCAUAAGUUCUACAAUGUGGGUUGUAGAAGAAAUGCUUUUCUAUUCGCAAGGAUAGAGGAGUAGCAACAGGAGGGAUCUGCGGCGGAUUAGCUAGAUGGGGGGUAAUGGCCUACCAUGGCGACGAUCCGUAGCUGGUCUGAGAGGACGACCAGCCACACUGGGACUGAGACACGGCCCAGACUCCUACGGGAGGCAGCAGUGGGGAAUAUUGGACAAUGGGCGAAAGCCUGAUCCAGCAAUGCCGCGUGAGUGAUGAAGGCCCUAGGGUUGUAAAGCUCUUUUACCCCGGGAUGAUAAUGACAGUACCGGGAGAAUAAGCCCCGGCUAACUCCGUGCCAGCCGCCGCGGUAAC